UUAACUGAAACCAAAAAGAGGUAUAUUAUUGUUAAUAAUAAAAAUGAAUUAAUAAUUCCUGUUAAA
This 66-nucleotide transfer RNA is filed under the name Macrotermes barneyi. RNAcentral's name for it is "tRNA-Asn". The record is from RNAcentral. Lineage: Eukaryota; Metazoa; Arthropoda; Insecta; Blattodea; Termitidae.